GCAUGGGAACCACAACCACAAUCACCAUGGGGGAAAUGGACAUCACCAUCGCCAUGGAGGACAUGGACACAAUGUAACAUCCCAAAUUUUCAAUUUCGGAUGUUUGCACCUUUUCAUUCCUCAUGCACAUCACUUUGAUCAUAUCUUAAAAUUUCGGUGUUCGUCAUGAUGCAUUAUUGAAAGUGUUUGAAAUGGUGUUUUGGAAUGUGUUAGGUUGAGACAAAUUGAUUUGAGAAUUUUCUAGAAUUUAAAAAUGCAUUCUAGGAUUUUAUUUGGAUUUAUUUAAAGCUUAAAAACAUUAAAAAUAUUUUUAUUAUUUUAUUUUUGAGUGGGAAUAAUUUUCCUGGGCUCUAAAUGAAAUAUAUUAUUUUACAGAAUUUUUGAAAAAUUUUCUGAGACCAUUUGGUAUUUUAAAUGAUUUAAAUGGAUUUUCGGGUGAAUAUUAGAUCCUGAAAAGCAUUUUAUAAUCUUUUUCUUUUAUUCUUUUUUCUUUUUCUCUGGAAGUACGCUUUCUCCGCGGGAAAGCGUUCUCCGCGGGAAAGCGUAUUCUCGGAGAAAUACACUUUCAAUCUUCUCUUCUCUCUCCUUCUCUCUCACUGACAGGUGGGCCCCACCUGUCAUCCCUCACCUCCGGCAACCGCCGCCCACGACCGCCACGCGCCCACGAUUUCUGGCCUAACUGCUGCCGCCGCCUGCCCUUGCACAUGCCUGCGCGCCCGCGCACGCCGGCCCACGCGCGCCAUCCCGCACGCGCGCCCGCCCGUGCUCGCCUACGCCAACCGCCGCCCCGCGCGCGCCUACACCCGCCUCCCGACUCCAACC
RNAcentral lists this long non-coding RNA (822 nucleotides) under Brachypodium distachyon (stiff brome). RNAcentral's name for it is "long non-coding RNA (BDIS_LNC002422)". Lineage: Eukaryota; Viridiplantae; Streptophyta; Magnoliopsida; Poales; Poaceae. The record is from RNAcentral.